UACGUAGGGCGCAAGCGUUGUCCGGAAUUAUUGGGCGUAAAGAGCUCGUAGGCGGCCUGUUGCGUCCGCUGUGAAAUCCCGGGGCUUAACCCCGGGCUUGCAGUGGAUACGGGCAGGCUGGAGGCAGGCAGGGGAGAACGGAAUUCCCGGUGUAGCGGUGAAAUGCGCAGAUAUACGAAGGAACGCCAAAAGCGAAGGCAGCUCUCUGGGUCCCUACCGACGCUGGGGUGCGAAAGCAUGGGGAGCGAACAGG
Molecule: ribosomal RNA, 253 nt
Filed under: uncultured bacterium
Lineage: Bacteria
Description: partial 16S ribosomal RNA
Rfam family: Bacterial small subunit ribosomal RNA
Source: RNAcentral